UCCUACGGGAGGCAGCAGUGAGGAAUAUUGGUCAAUGGCCGGAAGGCUGAACCAGCCAAGCCGCGUGAAGGACGAAGGUGCCAAGCAUUGUAAACUUCUUUUGUCAAGGGACAAAAUCAGGCUCGAGAGCCUGACCGAGGGUACUUGAAGAAAAAGCAUCGGCUAACUCCGUGCCAGCAGCCGCGGUAAUACGGAGGAUGCGAGCGUUAUCCGGAUUUAUUGGGUUUAAAGGGUGCGUAGGCGGGCUGUUAAGUCAGCGGUCAAAUGUCGGGGCUCAACCCCGGCCUGCCGUUGAAACUGGCGGC
This 305-nucleotide ribosomal RNA is filed under the name uncultured bacterium. Its description in RNAcentral is "bacterial SSU rRNA". It matches the Rfam family "Bacterial small subunit ribosomal RNA", at positions 337 to 640 of the family's 1533-position model. The record is from RNAcentral.